AAAAAAUAAAAUAAGAGUCCUCCUCUAAUAAAACACUAUAUGCGGCACUUAUGGAAACAAAAUUAGGGAAUUAAAAUUCCCUUAAGCUACCGCCUACCAUAUCUACACGGGCUUCGGCCCUUAACAAAAAAAAAAAAAUCAAACCCAAGAAUACUUAAUUAAAAAUGAGUUUGGGACUUAAUUAUAUUUGGAACAAUUAUCUUCAAGCCCAAUCUCUAAAAUUCCUCCAUCUUCCAUGCACUUCUUCUCGAAAUUCCACCAUCUCUUCUAUCCACGAACCUCGAC
Molecule: long non-coding RNA, 285 nt
Filed under: Salvia miltiorrhiza (redroot sage)
Lineage: Eukaryota; Viridiplantae; Streptophyta; Magnoliopsida; Lamiales; Lamiaceae
Description: long non-coding RNA (SMIL_LNC013645)
Source: RNAcentral